Molecule: ribosomal RNA, 445 nt
Filed under: uncultured bacterium
Lineage: Bacteria
Description: partial 16S ribosomal RNA
Rfam family: Bacterial small subunit ribosomal RNA
Source: RNAcentral
GUGAGGAAUAUUGGUCAAUGGGCGAGAGCCUGAACCAGCCAAGUCGCGUGAAGGAUGAAGGUUUUAUGAAUUGUAAACUUCUUUUGCAGGGGAAUAAAGUACGGUACGUGUACCGUUUUGUAUGUACUCUGCGAAUAAGGAUCGGCUAACUCCGUGCCAGCAGCCGCGGUAAUACGGAGGAUCCAAGCGUUAUCCGGAUUUAUUGGGUUUAAAGGUUGCGCAGGCGGGUUGAUAAGUCAGCGGUGAAAGUUUGCAGCUUAACUGUAAAAUUGCCGUUGAAACUGUCGAUCUUGAGUGCAAAUGAGGUAAGCGGAAUGUGUUGUGUAGCGGUGAAAUGCUUAGAUAUAACACAGAACACCGAUUGCGAAGGCAGCUUACUGGGAUGCAACUGACGCUCAUGCACGAAAGCGUGGGGAUCAAACAGGAUUAGAUACCCUUGUAGUCC